UGAGCUUCCAAAUCAGACUGCUGUUAAACUGGCUCACUCCAUAUACUCUGUGCUACAGCAAUUUAAUAUUUCAUUAAAAAGCAUUAAUGAUGGCUCCAGUGAAUUUCUCCUAUUCAAGCUCCAUAAUGACAGCAGUUCAAGUGAGUGUUGAUCUCUGAGUGAUGCAACACAAAAACAUCGCCUAACAAAGGAACACUUGGAGUGCUACUCAUAUUCUCUGCAACUUGAGGAGAAAAAGAAGUGUUCUAUAAGAAAUUUGGACAAGACUCUGCAAGAAGUUAAGAGGUCCUUAAAGGCAACUGUGAAUUAACGGAGACUGGUUUUGAGAAAAUCAGUCCUGAUUUGUUUCUCUUGGAGUUUUCUUCUUUAUGUGAUCCUUCAUAAAAGCUGCUAAUAUGGGAAAGAUUGAAAUCAGCAAGUUUCUGGCUGUAAGCUAAAAGAGGCUCUUGAAUCAUAUUUCCGCCUGCUUAGCAAAUUUCUCUUGCGACAAUUGGAUGUUAUUUGGGGUUCCAUACUAGCAGGAAGAAGUACAAGCAAAGCUAAGUCAUUUUGAGAAUAAAUAUUAUCUCUCUAUAUAUUUGUAAAUGUUAUUUUCUUUUUUUUUUGAGGUUUAUGAUUGAUCCUUGGCAUGUGUCCCCUUGUGUAUUGCUCUACUAAAAAUAGCCUAAAAAAGAAUUUUCCCCUCGAUGUGGAGCU
RNAcentral lists this long non-coding RNA (696 nucleotides) under Pan troglodytes (chimpanzee). Its description in RNAcentral is "lincRNA". Lineage: Eukaryota; Metazoa; Chordata; Mammalia; Primates; Hominidae. The record is from RNAcentral.